UGACAACCCUUCCCUUUAGCUUGAUGAAGGCUGUCCCUGGAGCUGUGGACUUCUGCACUGUUGCCUCUGCUGGUCAGCAGCAGUCACCUUUCCAAAGCUCAGCAUCUAUCUGCCGAGGAUCUGUGAACGGCUGCCGUGAGGUCUUUUACUGAACUCAGGUUCAACGGCUCACCUCUCCAAAGUCAACACUCAAGAGACAAGUGUUAGCAGAGCUGGUACCUUUCAUGCUGUCGAAGCUGCUGGCAGGAUUUGCCAAGGGUGGCUGGAAUCACAAGGGUCCAGGCUGCUGGAGAGCUCAAGAAGAUGGUGCUGCAGGGGAUCUGAUUUCCCAGCAGAAAGUGUGACUGAAGCCAGAGGUUAUAUCAGAGAUACUGUUCCAUUUAGCCUUGAAAACAUGAGUCACUACUGUUGCCUUUCACUGACUCAAA
RNAcentral lists this long non-coding RNA (428 nucleotides) under Capra hircus (goat). RNAcentral's name for it is "lncRNA (ENSCHIG00000008215.1)". Lineage: Eukaryota; Metazoa; Chordata; Mammalia; Artiodactyla; Bovidae. The record is from RNAcentral.